AACUGGUCGAAGGUAGUGCAUUAUCUCAAUAGAUUGUUCACGGUCAGUUACAGAUCGCACUCCUCAUUCUACUCUUCCCCCCCUUCUCACUACUGCACUUGACUAGUCUUAA
This 112-nucleotide Y RNA is filed under the name Tursiops truncatus (common bottlenose dolphin). RNAcentral describes it as "Y RNA (ENSTTRG00000023165.1)". It matches the Rfam family "Y RNA". Rfam says of the family: Y RNAs are components of the Ro ribonucleoprotein particle (Ro RNP), in association with Ro60 and La proteins. The record is from Rfam by way of RNAcentral. Lineage: Eukaryota; Metazoa; Chordata; Mammalia; Artiodactyla; Delphinidae.